UAAGAUGGUAGUAAAACGCCCAUUACUCUGCCUUGUCAAGACAAAAUUGUAGGUUGAACUCCUACACAUCUUAAAAACA
This 79-nucleotide transfer RNA is filed under the name Ophisternon candidum (blind cave eel). RNAcentral's name for it is "tRNA-Asp". It matches the Rfam family "tRNA". Rfam says of the family: Transfer RNA (tRNA) molecules are approximately 80 nucleotides in length. Their secondary structure includes four short double-helical elements and three loops (D, anti-codon, and T loops). Further hydrogen bonds mediate the characteristic L-shaped molecular structure. tRNAs have two regions of fundamental functional importance: the anti-codon, which is responsible for specific mRNA codon recognition, and the 3' end, to which the tRNAs corresponding amino acid is attached (by aminoacyl-tRNA synthetases). tRNAs cope with the degeneracy of the genetic code in two manners: having more than one tRNA (with a specific anti-codon) for a particular amino acid; and 'wobble' base-pairing, i.e. permitting non-standard base-pairing at the 3rd anti-codon position. The record is from RNAcentral. Lineage: Eukaryota; Metazoa; Chordata; Actinopteri; Synbranchiformes; Synbranchidae.